GUUUCCGAUUCGAUCAACGCUUCCAUUCCAUCUGCUCCCAAGGAUUUCGGAAAGAAGAAAAGGGCUAACCGUUCUGCCAAACUGAAGCAGUGCAAGCUCGAUGCCCGUCGAGAGCAAUGGCUUUCUCAAGUUGCCUUUAAGAACAAACGAAGCAAGGAGGAGCUGAAUGGCCAACGAAUGUCCCCAUGUGAAAACGAGAGGAAGAAUGCCAUAGAGAGUUUAGAGACAAGGCCAAGAGGAAGAGGAGAUGAAGAAGAGAAGGAAAACGGAUCGAUCUAUCACGAUUUUGAUUCUGAUUCCCCUUCCCACAGUCCCACCGGCAGCAGCGUUCUCAGCGGCACCGAUGUUGGCACCAAUUGCACGGGCUCCUCCACCAGCAGCAGUAGUAGCAGCAGCAGUGGUGGUUGUUGCUCUGGCAGGAAAGAAAAGGCGGAUGAUGAUGGCUUGGACGAUUGGGAGGCUGUGGCCGAUGCUUUAGCUGCCAAUGAUGAUAACAAGCAAGAAA
RNAcentral lists this unclassified non-coding RNA (505 nucleotides) under Hevea brasiliensis (rubber tree). The record is from RNAcentral. Lineage: Eukaryota; Viridiplantae; Streptophyta; Magnoliopsida; Malpighiales; Euphorbiaceae.